AGCGAACGCUGGCGGCAGGCCUAACACAUGCAAGUCGAACGAACUCUUCGGAGUUAGUGGCGGACGGGUGAGUAACACGUGGGAACGUGCCUUUUGGUUCGGAAUAACUCAGGGAAACUUGUGCUAAUACCGAAUGUGCCCUUCGGGGGAAAGAUUUCUCGCCAUUAGAGCGGCCCGCGUCUGAUUAGCUAGUUGGUGAGGUAACGGCUCACCAAGGCUACGAUCAGUAGCUGGUCUGAGAGGAUGACCAGCCACACUGGGACUGAGACACGGCCCAGACUCCUACGGGAGGCAGCAGUAGGGAAUCUUGCGCAAUGGGCGAAAGCCUGACGCCGCCAUGCCGCGUGAAUGAUGAAGGUCUUAGGAUUGUAAAAUUCUUUCACCGGGGACGAUAAUGACGGUACCCGGAGAAGAAGCCCCGGCUAACUUCGUG
RNAcentral lists this ribosomal RNA (433 nucleotides) under uncultured bacterium. RNAcentral describes it as "partial 16S ribosomal RNA". It matches the Rfam family "Bacterial small subunit ribosomal RNA", at positions 29 to 507 of the family's 1533-position model. The record is from RNAcentral.